AGAGAGAGACAUGCGCGCAUAUCAAUAAGCGGAGGAAAAGAAACUAACAAGGAUUCCCUUAGUAACGGCGAGUGAAGCGGGAAGAGCUCAAAUUUGAAAUCUUCAAGGUUUUACCUUGACGAAUUGUAGUUUAAAGAAGUGUUUUCUGCUGAAGUUUUGGUAAAGGUUCUUUAGAAUAGGACAUCAUAGAGGGUGAGAAUCCCGUAUUUGACCAUUAUUUUCAGCUUUGUGAUACACUUUCAAAGAGUCGGAUUGUUUGGGAGUGCAGUCCAAAAUGGGUGGUAAAUUUCAUCUAAAGCUAAAUAUUGGCGAGAGACCGAUAGCGAACAAGUACCGUGAGGGAAAGAUGAAAAGAACUUUGAAAAGAGAGUUAAACAGUACGUGAAAUUGUCAAAAGGGAAGCGUUUGACACCAGUGUUGUUUUCUCGAAAAUCAAUUAAGAAUGGCUCGAUUUUGUAUUGCUUGAGACCUUAAAAGCUCACUGUACAUUUUUCGUGUCUUUUUUAAUGCACUUUUCGUUUAACAAGUCAACAUCAGUUUCUUUUGUUGUAAAAGGGUCAUUGGAAGGUGGCUUUCUUUUCGGAGAAAGUGUUUAUAGCCUUUGACCUCUGCAAUCGGAGAGACUGAGGUCUGCAGCGUAGACUCUUCGGGGUUAGAUACAUUUGUGCUAAGUUAUAGCUUUUUAUAGACAACUUGUUGACUAUAAUUAGUCUUGUAGCUUACUCGCUUAUGCUAUUUUACCUACGCUUAGGAUGUUGAGUCGUAGAGCACGCAG
This 775-nucleotide ribosomal RNA is filed under the name uncultured Neocallimastigales. RNAcentral describes it as "partial large subunit ribosomal RNA". It matches the Rfam family "Eukaryotic large subunit ribosomal RNA", at positions 23 to 626 of the family's 3401-position model. The record is from RNAcentral. Lineage: Eukaryota; Fungi; Neocallimastigomycota; Neocallimastigomycetes; Neocallimastigales.